This is a long non-coding RNA of Gorilla gorilla gorilla (western lowland gorilla), 1215 nucleotides long. RefSeq lists it as uncharacterized. The transcript is spliced from 3 exons. Lineage: Eukaryota; Metazoa; Chordata; Mammalia; Primates; Hominidae. The record is from RefSeq and is a predicted model, not a curated record.
UCACCCAGGCUGGAGUACAGUGGCACAAUCUCGGCUCACUGCAACCUCCACCUCCCGGGUUCAAGCGAUUCUUCUGCCUCAGCCUCCUGAGUAGAUGGGACUACAGUACUGAAGUGAAAGAUGCAGGUUAAGCCACUUAGCUGUGCCCACACCCUCGGGAAGAAUGAAAAGGGAUGAUACAUUGCAGAAAAUGUCCUACUGUGAGACAAUCAAACCCACAUCAAGGCUUCAGAGAACAAAACAAGAAUUUGCUUCUCGCCUCAGGAAAACUAUGAAUCCUUAUUAAGGUGCAUAGGUGAUGGAGGUGCUGGAAUGACAAGAGCAUUGAGGAGACUGUGAAAAAUCAGUGGCAGUUGAAGAUGUUGGAAAUACUCACCAUUGAGUCUGCCUUCUCAGUACCAUGGAGAGAAGCCUACACUAAGCAAAGGAGUAUUGACUAUUUGGAAGGAUGAAAUAGGUUACCUAUAAGUUGUCAAACAAUAAAUUCUCCAAAGUGUUCAAGAGACUUUUUUUCUUAGUAAUAAAGGAGAAAAAACCUUUUCUUUCAUAUAAUGAGAUAAGAUUGAUGCUUACGUAGUUUGGGCUAUGGAUCUCCUUUUGUUUGAAAAUUUCUAAUGAAUAUUUGGCAGUCAUGCUUACUACCUACCUAAAGAACAAACACUUCCUUAUGAUGUGGAGACAUAAUUAAACUGGAAGGUGGCAAAACUGGUACUGAAAGAAGGAGCAUUCGCUGGGCAGCUGAUUCUAUAUAUUAGUGGGAUUUUCAAUUUCAUCCUGGCUUCACUUCUACUUAUUUCUGUACUCUGCAGUGGAUAGAAAUUGAAAAUCAAUCCCUCAAUCUAUGUUGAAAGUAAGAAAAAAAAUUAGAAUAACUUUGACUAUUUUUAAAAUCUAUCAUUCAUGGAACGUUAACUACAUAAAACCAAGAAACAUAAAAAUGCAAGAAGAAACCACCAUUAUUCACUGUUUUGUUUUAAGGUGUGACUCAUUGUUCAAUUUUCUUUUAUAUUACAAAUAUUCUCCUUCUCCAUGUCUUUGUACCAUAAGAAACUUUUUAAAAAUAAAAAAACUAUAAUAAAAAUUAUAAGACACUGUAAAUGAAUGGUUAUAGUCAUCUGAAUUUUCUCUGACCCUUAGAAUUAAGGAAAAAAAAACACACAAUAGUUAUGGCCAAUAAUAAUUCCUCCUUCUUUGAGGAAAUACAACAGUUUUAGA